Molecule: ribosomal RNA, 727 nt
Filed under: Triticum aestivum (bread wheat)
Lineage: Eukaryota; Viridiplantae; Streptophyta; Magnoliopsida; Poales; Poaceae
Description: bacterial SSU rRNA
Rfam family: Bacterial small subunit ribosomal RNA
Source: RNAcentral
CAGUGGGUACGGGCAGACUAGAGUGCGGUAGGGGAGAUUGGAAUUCCUGGUGUAGCGGUGGAAUGCGCAGAUAUCAGGAGGAACACCGAUGGCGAAGGCAGAUCUCUGGGCCGUUACUGACGCUGAGGAGCGAAAGCGUGGGGAGCGAACAGGAUUAGAUACCCUGGUAGUCCACGCCGUAAACGUUGGGAACUAGAUGUGGGGUCCAUUCCACGGAUUCCGUGUCGCAGCUAACGCAUUAAGUUCCCCGCCUGGGGAGUACGGCCGCAAGGCUAAAACUCAAAGGAAUUGACGGGGGCCCGCACAAGCGGCGGAGCAUGCGGAUUAAUUCGAUGCAACGCGAAGAACCUUACCAAGGCUUGACAUGCACCUGAAAAGGCUGGAAACAGUCUCCUCGCAAGACAGGUGCACAGGUGGUGCAUGGUUGUCGUCAGCUCGUGUCGUGAGAUGUUGGGUUAAGUCCCGCAACGAGCGCAACCCUCGUUUUAUGUUGCCAGCGCGUUAUGGCGGGAACUCAUAGGAGACUGCCGGGGUCAACUCGGAGGAAGGUGGGGAUGACGUCAAAUCAUCAUGCCCCUUAUGUCUUGGGCUUCACGCAUGCUACAAUGGCCGGUACAAAGGGCUGCAAUACCGUAAGGUGGAGCGAAUCCCAAAAAGCCGGUCUCAGUUCGGAUUGAGGUCUGCAACUCGACCUCAUGAAGUCGGAGUCGCUAGUAAUCGCAGAUCA